This is a non-coding RNA of Gammaproteobacteria bacterium GWE2_42_36, 137 nucleotides long. NCBI's taxonomy places the organism in Bacteria, Pseudomonadati, Pseudomonadota, Gammaproteobacteria. The record is from Rfam.
GAUUAUUUUUGGUAAGAUAUACUUACACGCCUUUUUGCAAGCGAGAAAGCGCGUAAAUAAAUCCGUAAAAAGCGAAGAUAUUUGAAGUGAUUAGGAGUAUAUAAAUGGCCCGUAUUGGUGGAGUUAACAUACCAGAC